GACGAACGCUGGCGGCGUGCUUAACACAUGCAAGUCGAGCGGUAAGGCCCUUUCGGGGGUACACGAGCGGCGAACGGGUGAGUAACACGUGGGUGACCUGCCCUCAGCUCUGGGAUAAGCCUGGGAAACCGGGUCUAAUACUGGAUAUGACUCCAUGACGCAUGUUGUGGGGUGGAAAGCCUUGUGCGGCUGAGGAUGGGCCCGCGGCCUAUCAGCUUGUUGGUGGGGUGAUGGCCUACCAAGGCGACGACGGGUAGCCGGCCUGAGAGGGCGACCGGCCACACUGGGACUGAGACACGGCCAGACUCCUACGGGAGGCAGCAGUGGGGAAUCUUGCGCAAUGGGCGAAAGCCUGACGCAGCGACGCCGCGUGAGGGAUGACGGCCU
This 387-nucleotide ribosomal RNA is filed under the name uncultured bacterium. RNAcentral's name for it is "bacterial SSU rRNA". It matches the Rfam family "Bacterial small subunit ribosomal RNA", at positions 28 to 417 of the family's 1533-position model. The record is from RNAcentral.